AAAAACUGAGGUGGUAUACGAUGGUUCCGCGUCUGAUUAGCUAGUUGGUGGGGUAAAAGCCUACCAAGGCAACGAUCAGUAGCCGGCCUGAGAGGGUGAACGGCCACAUUGGGACUGAGACACGGCCCAAACUCCUACGGGAGGCAGCAGUGGGGAAUAUUGCACAAUGGGGGAAACCCUGAUGCAGCGACGCCGCGUGAGUGAAGAAGUAUUUCGGUAUGUAAAGCUCUAUCAGCAGGGAAGAAAUACUGACCAUAGGGUCAGCAGACGGUACUUGACUAAGAAGCCCCGGCUAACUACGUGCCAGCAGCCGCGGUAAUACGUAGGGGGCAAGCGUUAUCCGGAUUUACUGGGUGUAAAGGGAGCGUAGACGGCAGCGCAAGUCUGAAGCGAAAUGCCAGGGCUUAACCCUGGAACUGCUUUGGAAACUGUGCAGCUAGAGUGCAGGAGAGGUAAGUGGAAUUUCUAGUGUAGCGGUGAAAUGCGUAGAUAUUAGGAGGAACACCAGUGGCGAAGGCGGCUUACUGGACCGUAACUGACGUUGAGGCUCGAAAGCGUGGGGAGCAAACAGGAUUAGAUACCCUGGUAGUCCACGCUGUAAACGAUGAUUACUAGGUGUUGGGGGACCAAGGUUCUUCG
This 639-nucleotide ribosomal RNA is filed under the name uncultured bacterium. RNAcentral describes it as "bacterial SSU rRNA". It matches the Rfam family "Bacterial small subunit ribosomal RNA", at positions 202 to 842 of the family's 1533-position model. The record is from RNAcentral.